UUGUCUGUGUUGGCGCUUCUUCUCCCAGGCUCCUGCAGCCACUUCGGGACUAGGUUUCUAACGGCGCCUGCGGGGGGGCCUCGCGGAGCUGGAUGUGGAAAAGGCGAGCGCGGGGGAACUGUGCUGUAAAAACUCGCCCUGCCUCCACAGAAAGCCCCGAAGCGCCGGCGUUUGUCUGUUAGGCAGGCUGACAUUAAGCGCCUACUGUGUGCUGGGCCCUUCUUAAGACCCGGGGGGCAGAACAGCGUCUGUCCGGUAGGCGCCCAGGGCUGCUGCGAAGCCCCGGAGCGAGGAGUGUGGCCCCUCAAACAGGGAGGAGAUGAGGUCCGAGGCCGACCGAGGGAGCUGCACGCGAGGACCCGGUGGUCCCUGACCUGCCCUCUCCAGCGGGGACCUGCACUUUCUGUCACCAAAGAAGAUUCUCUGUAGGGAGGCCAGGAUGAUUCUCCAGAAUUUACUGUGCCUUGAGAUGAAAUUUCCUUUCAAACUUCCUUGUGUCCUUUUGUCCUCAUUCCAUGUUCACCAAUCUUCUGAUUGUUUCAUUUUCCAGAAAGGAGAAUCUGAAUAACAUGUAUAUUUUAACCUUGCCUGCAAUUGUAAAUCAAUAAAUUGGUGUAUUUACAUCAGA
This is a long non-coding RNA of Symphalangus syndactylus (siamang), 628 nucleotides long. RefSeq lists it as uncharacterized. Lineage: Eukaryota; Metazoa; Chordata; Mammalia; Primates; Hylobatidae. The record is from RefSeq and is a predicted model, not a curated record.